Molecule: long non-coding RNA, 220 nt
Filed under: Ursus maritimus (polar bear)
Lineage: Eukaryota; Metazoa; Chordata; Mammalia; Carnivora; Ursidae
Description: lncRNA (ENSUMAG00000016778.1)
Source: RNAcentral
CCAAUGUGCUUGUUCGUUUUGCCACCCCAGGCUGAAGCGUAAAAGAAGAAAGAUGAGGCAGAGGUCCAAGUAAACCACUAGCUUGUGCACCCGUGGAGCCACAGGAGCAGAAAUAAUUCUGUUUUCAUUUGUGGCUGAAUGUAACACGUGUACAAUAAAUCAUCUCUUCUGCUGUCUUAGCUGAAGAAAAAAAAAAUGGUUUUGUCUGAUACGUGGUUUU